CCUACCCAGAAAAGUGCUGAUG
This 22-nucleotide microRNA is filed under the name Canis lupus familiaris (dog). Lineage: Eukaryota; Metazoa; Chordata; Mammalia; Carnivora; Canidae. The record is from RNAcentral.